UGGAUCGUAAAGCUCUGUUGUUAGGGAAGAACAAGUGCGAGAGUAACUGCUCGCACCUUGACGGUACCUAACCAGAAAGCCACGGCUAACUACGUGCCAGCAGCCGCGGUAAUACGUAGGUGGCAAGCGUUGUCCGGAAUUAUUGGGCGUAAAGGGCUCGCAGGCGGUUUCUUAAGUCUGAUGUGAAAGCCCCCGGCUCAACCGGGGAGGGUCAUUGGAAACUGGGAAACUUGAGUGCAGAAGAGGAGAGUGGAAUUCCACGUGUAGCGGUGAAAUGCGUAGAGAUGUGGAGGAACACCAGUGGCGAAGGCGACUCUCUGGUCUGUAACUGACGCUGAGGAGCGAAAGCGUGGGGAGCGAACAGGAUUAGAUACCCUGGUAGUCCACGCCGUAAACGAUGAGUGCUAANUGUUAGGGGGUUUCCGCCCCUUANUGCUGCAGCUAACGCA
RNAcentral lists this ribosomal RNA (449 nucleotides) under Bacillus pumilus. Its description in RNAcentral is "bacterial SSU rRNA". It matches the Rfam family "Bacterial small subunit ribosomal RNA", at positions 419 to 859 of the family's 1533-position model. The record is from RNAcentral. Lineage: Bacteria; Bacillati; Bacillota; Bacilli; Caryophanales; Bacillaceae.